GAUUUGGUCGGGUGGUCCGCUUAACGGCGUGUUACUGCUUGGCUGGGUCUUGUCUCUUGGUGAACCAUUGUGCCCUUUAUUGGUGUGCUUUGGGGAACCAGGACUUUUACCUUGAGAAAAUUAGAGUGUUCAAAGCAGGCCUAUGCCUGAAUACAUUAGCAUGGAAUAAUAGAAUAGGACUUUAGUCUCCUUUGUUGGUUUGAGGGACUGAAGUA
Molecule: ribosomal RNA, 215 nt
Filed under: uncultured fungus
Lineage: Eukaryota; Fungi
Description: partial small subunit ribosomal RNA
Rfam family: Eukaryotic small subunit ribosomal RNA (bases 48-215)
Source: RNAcentral